CAGCACGGAUACGGAUACGCGUAUCAGUAUCGGAAGGAUACGGAUACGCGGAUACGGCAAUUUUCUAAAAAAUCUGAUACGCGGAUACGUUUUACUAUUUUAAAAAUUAAAAAGAUAAUAAUGCAUAUUAAAACUAAUAAUAAUAGAACAUUGCAGUCUACUUAACUACUUAAGUUCUAUUAUUAUGUUUUACUCUUAAUAAACGGCAUUCAGCCUCUCAUCAACUCCCUAUUUCCUCAAUUGUUUCACUCUCAUCCAAAACAGCAAGCUGCAGAGUAGAUCGAGUAGAUCGAGAAUGGAAAAAAGAGACGCCAUCUACUCGUAUUUGGAGACACGCCAGACACCAUCCACUGCAUACAAAGAAAAUCAGGCAACAAGAAAGUAAGAAAUGCAAAAACAGAGUAGAUCAAGAAUGGACAGACGAAGAGGAAGUGCGGACCAAAGAAAUCAAACAACAAUAUGAGUGAAGGGGGGAUGAACUCACGGGAAUAGGGAAGGGGGGAUGAACUCACGGGAUGGGAGGUCGCUGGACACCUGGAUCCAAGUUGCAGGGCAGGGACUUUGCCGGCGGCCGGGCGGAGCUCGUCGCCGGCGAGCGGGGGCGGAGCUCGUCGCCGGCUAGCGGGGGCGGAGACUCGUUGCCAGCGGCCGACGGCCAGCGAGCAGGACAAGGCAUCACCGCGCGUGUUCGCUGGAGGCGGCACGAAGUGCGGGCGUCGGGGCCUGGCGUUGGGGAUAGAGGAAGGGAGUGCACGCGUGUUGGGCUGGGCCGUAUCGAAUGGGCAGAUACGUAUCGGCCGACGUACUCAAUAUUCACGAAAUUAACAAAAAAUCGGAUACUCUUCCGAUACGUAUCCAUCACGUAUCCGACACGUAUCCGUAUCGGAUAUUUAUCCGAUACGGGAUACGGCACCUCCCCAGCGUAUCCGUGUUACAUAGGUUAUACUCAAGCUCAAAUGUGUGGAAACUAGAUCCUUUUAUAGUUUUAUACUUUUAUUCCAUGUCUUUGGUUUGUGAUCUGAUCAAUAAUACCUGAUAUUUGGGAUCUGGGAGUUGGGAGUUGGGAGUUGGGAUUGGCUAUCAGUAUAUCAGGUCAUUCUGGACUCUGGUGGGCACCAACCAAGUCUGGGAAAUGUGGAAGAAAAUAAUCCAGCAAAGUAGUCUAGUAAAUUAGUUUCUGGUAUUUUUGUUUCUACAAAGUAGAGCCAA
RNAcentral lists this long non-coding RNA (1209 nucleotides) under Sorghum bicolor (sorghum). Its description in RNAcentral is "long non-coding RNA (SBIC_LNC005650)". The record is from RNAcentral. Lineage: Eukaryota; Viridiplantae; Streptophyta; Magnoliopsida; Poales; Poaceae.